Pteropus vampyrus (large flying fox) is the source of this 72-nucleotide small nucleolar RNA. NCBI's taxonomy places the organism in Eukaryota, Metazoa, Chordata, Mammalia, Chiroptera, Pteropodidae. The record is from Ensembl.
UGCACUAGUGAAGAUGACAGGUAGCAUGAGCCAUCGAUGAUGAAAAUAAGUGUCUAAAACUCUGAGAUCCAA